UGUCCGUGUUAACUGUGCAAACGGGGCGCCCUGUGCCCCACGAUAGCCACUCAGAGUGCGAGAACAGCUGGGGGCGGGGAGAGGGGAGGGGAGCAGAGGCAGAGGCUGGAGGAGAAGCGGUCAGAGCGAGGAGCUUCGGGCGCUGUCCCAGGGAAGCCACCCAAGGCCACGGAGAGAUGUGAGGGUGGAAGGUGAGGACAGCCCCCGCACGCGUGGGCUCGAGUGAGUGCUAGUUUAGGAUUACAAAGCGGAAAGAGCCCAGAAAGAUAAAAACUGCCGGCGGACACAGCAGAGGAACUGAAAAACUCCUCGCGCGCCUCUGUCUUCCUUGAAAUGCCCUAGAGCUUCCAGUCUUGGGCUGAGCCGCAGGUGGCCUCGGCCCGGAUGCCGUGUGUGCCGCUGCAGCAGAGGGGCCAAGAGGAAGCAAGCAGGGAGCACAAUCAGCGCCCUCAGCUCCUCCUCACAGGAGCAAAAGCAACCUGGCCCAACUCUUCACGGGAGGCCAGCCCACGUGACUGGCUUUGGCCAAAGGGGCUGCUAAUGACGGGGACACGCAGAGGCUUGAAGGGCACUGAAGGGAUGAAGCUUUCACCGCUAGCACCUGUGCUCCUGCCCUGAGAGCAAGCCCAGGCCAGACCAAGGCGGAGCGGAUGGUGACACCAGUCGCCCGCAUGGACCCAGACCGGGCUGUGGAUCCUUGUGUGUCAGUUUCACUGGAUUUAGAGAUGCCC
This 731-nucleotide long non-coding RNA is filed under the name Fukomys damarensis (Damara mole-rat). Its description in RNAcentral is "lncRNA (ENSFDAG00000023776.1)". Lineage: Eukaryota; Metazoa; Chordata; Mammalia; Rodentia; Bathyergidae. The record is from RNAcentral.